GAUGAACGCUGGCGGCGUGCCUAAUACAUGCAAGUCGAGCGAACAGACGAGGAGCUUGCUCCUCUGAUGUUAGCGGCGGACGGGUGAGUAACACGUGGAUAACCUACCUAUAAGACUGGGAUAACUUCGGGAAACCGGAGCUAAUACCGGAUAACAUGUUGAACCGCAUGGUUCAACAGUGAAAGACGGUCUUGCUGUCACUUAUAGAUGGAUCCGCGCCGCAUUAGCUAGUUGGUAAGGUAACGGCUUACCAAGGCAACGAUGCGUAGCCGACCUGAGAGGGUGAUCGGCCACACUGGAACUGAGACACGGUCCAGACUCCUACGGGAGGCAGCAGUAGGGAAUCGUCCGCAAUGGGCGAAAGCCUGACGGAGCAACGCCGCGUGAGUGAAGAAGGUCUUCGGAUCGUAAAACUCUGUUAUUAGGGAAGAACAAAUGUGUAAGUAACUAUGCACGUCUUGACGGUACCUAAUCAGAAGGCCACGGCUAACUACGUG
Molecule: ribosomal RNA, 497 nt
Filed under: uncultured bacterium
Lineage: Bacteria
Description: partial 16S ribosomal RNA
Rfam family: Bacterial small subunit ribosomal RNA
Source: RNAcentral